Molecule: unclassified non-coding RNA, 208 nt
Filed under: soil metagenome
Description: partial contains 5.8S ribosomal RNA, internal transcribed spacer 2, and large subunit ribosomal RNA
Source: RNAcentral
AACUGAUACUACCUGCGGGAACCUGCGGAAGGAUCAUUACCGAGUUUACAACUCCCAAACCCCUGUGAACAUACCACUUGUUGCCUCGGCGGAUCAGCCCGCUCCCGGUAAAACGGGACGGCCCGCCAGAGGACCCCUAAACUCUGUUUCUAUAUGUAACUUCUGAGUAAAACCAUAAAUAAAUCAAAACUUUCAGCAACGGAUCUCU